AUGGUUACUAGAUUGCAAUUUGCAAAUACUCCUAGUGAUUGUCCCAUAGCUUAUAAUUUGAAACUGAAGAGAAAAACUAAAGUUAACUUACAGCUAGCUGUGUAUGAAACUUGGGCCCAUACGUCACAAUCAUGUGUUCAUUAUACACUAAAAUGUUGGAAAAAUUGCUCUUGUGGUCUCAGCAUUCAUUUUGAAACACUUGCAAACACACAGCCCUCUUCCCUUCACUCUCCAUUUUUAUCUAAAGCCAUGAAACAGAGUCCUUAUAAGCAAGUGGUUAUCUGGUUACAAAUUGGCACAGCAAAACAACAGACACCACAGAACUGA
Molecule: ribosomal RNA, 327 nt
Filed under: Triticum aestivum (bread wheat)
Lineage: Eukaryota; Viridiplantae; Streptophyta; Magnoliopsida; Poales; Poaceae
Description: partial small subunit ribosomal RNA
Source: RNAcentral